GACGAACGCUGGCGGCGUGCUUUAGGCAUGCAAGUCGAACGCGAAAGCCCCUUCGGGGGUGAGUAGAGUGGCGAACGGGUGAGUAACACGUGGGUAACCUGCCCCUCGCAGGGGGAUAACCGGGGGAAACCCCGGCUAAUACCCCGUACGCUUGCUGGGGCGCAUGCUCCGGCAAGGAAAGGUAGCUUCGGCCAUCCGGCGAGGGAGGGGCCCGCGGCCCAUUAGCUAGUUGGUGGGGUAACGGCCCACCAAGGCGACGAUGGGUAGCUGGCCUGAGAGGGUGGUCAGCCACACUGGGACUGAGACACGGCCCAGACCCCGACGGGAGGCAGCAGCCAGGAAUCUUGCGCAAUGGGCGAAAGCCUGACGCAGCAACGCCGCGUGGGCGAUGAAGGCCUUCGGGUCGUAAAGCCCUGUUGUCGGGGACGAAGGGCGAAGGGUUAAUAGCCCCUAGCCUGACGGUACCCGACGAGGAAGCCCCGGCUAACUACGUG
RNAcentral lists this ribosomal RNA (494 nucleotides) under uncultured bacterium. Its description in RNAcentral is "partial 16S ribosomal RNA". It matches the Rfam family "Bacterial small subunit ribosomal RNA", at positions 28 to 507 of the family's 1533-position model. The record is from RNAcentral.